This 250-nucleotide ribosomal RNA is filed under the name uncultured prokaryote. Its description in RNAcentral is "partial 16S ribosomal RNA". It matches the Rfam family "Bacterial small subunit ribosomal RNA", at positions 524 to 773 of the family's 1533-position model. The record is from RNAcentral.
UACGUAUGGUGCAAGCGUUAUCCGGAUUUACUGGGUGUAAAGGGCGCGUAGGUGGCGUGGCAAGUCAGACGUGAAAUGCGGGGGCUCAACCCCUGAACUGCAUUUAAAACUGUCAAGCUAGAGUACAGGAGAGGAAAGCGGAAUUCCUAGUGUAGCGGUGAAAUGCGUAGAUAUUAGGAGGAACACCUGUAGCGAAGGCGGCUUUCUGGACUGACACUGACACUGAGGCACGAAAGCGUGGGGAGCAAAC